GGGCCCAUAGCUCAGCAUGGCAGAGCAGCUGGCUCUUAACCAGAUGGUCGAGGGUUCAAAUCCCUCUGGGCCCA
This 74-nucleotide transfer RNA is filed under the name Candidatus Aenigmatarchaeota archaeon. Its description in RNAcentral is "tRNA-Lys". It matches the Rfam family "tRNA". From Rfam's summary of the family: Transfer RNA (tRNA) molecules are approximately 80 nucleotides in length. Their secondary structure includes four short double-helical elements and three loops (D, anti-codon, and T loops). The record is from RNAcentral. Lineage: Archaea; Nanobdellati; Candidatus Aenigmatarchaeota.